Molecule: ribosomal RNA, 467 nt
Filed under: uncultured bacterium
Lineage: Bacteria
Description: partial 16S ribosomal RNA
Rfam family: Bacterial small subunit ribosomal RNA
Source: RNAcentral
GACGAACGCUGGCGGCGUGCUUAACACAUGCAAGUCGAACGGAAAGGCCUGCUUUUGUGGGGUUCUCGAGUGGCGAACGGGUGAGUAACACGUGAGUAACCUGCCCUUGACUUUGGGAUAACUUCCGGAAACUGGGGCUAAUACCGGAUAGGAGCUCCUUCUGCAUGGUGGGGGGUGGAAAGUUUCGGCGGUUGGGGAUGGACUCGCGGCUUAUCAGCUUGUUGGUGGGGUAGUGGCUUACCAAGGCUUUGACGGGUAGCCGGCCUGAGAGGGUGACCGGCCACAUUGGGACUGAGAUACGGCCCAGACUCCUACGGGAGGCAGCAGUGGGGAAUAUUGCACAAUGGGCGGAAGCCUGAUGCAGCAACGCCGCGUGCGGGAUGACGGCCUUCGGGUUGUAAACCGCUUUCGCCUGUGACGAAGCGUGAGUGACGGUAAUGGGUAAAGAAGCACCGGCUAACUACGUG